UGGCUCAGUGGAUAGACCGUCGGUCUGCAGACUGAAAGGUCCCAGGUUCGAUUUCAGCCAAGCACUGUGCCUUGGUUGCGGGCACAUCCCCCGUGGGGGGGGUGCAGGAAGCAGCUGAUCCAUGUUUCUCCUUCAUCUAUGUUUCUAGCUCUCUAUCCCUCUCCCUUCCUCUCUGUAAAAAAAAUUAAAAUAUAUUUUAAAAAUAUAUAUAUCACUUCCCUCUUUAUCUAGCUUAGAAUUCAUAGUCUAUCAAUAUAAUCAUCUCACAUACACUUUCCCUUUCAAGUCUAAUAACCCCUCCUGCCCUGCACCUAUUACCCCCCA
Molecule: long non-coding RNA, 324 nt
Organism: Pipistrellus kuhlii (Kuhl's pipistrelle)
Lineage: Eukaryota; Metazoa; Chordata; Mammalia; Chiroptera; Vespertilionidae
Exons: 2
Source: RefSeq, a predicted model, not a curated record